UCUGUGGACUGUUAUACAAACAAGAUUAGAUAGACAAUGAACUUCUACGAAGUUCAUUGUCGUUGAAAUUGGACAGGUUGAAGCAGAAA
This 89-nucleotide non-coding RNA is filed under the name unclassified sequences. The record is from Rfam.